UACGGAGGGGGCUAGCGUUGUUCGGAAUUACCGGGCGUAAAGCGCGCGUAGGCGGACCUGCAAGUCGGGGGUGAAAGCCCGAGGCUCAACCUCGGAACUGCCUUCGAUACUGCGGGUCUCGAGUCCGGGAGAGGUGAGUGGAAUUCCUAGUGUAGAGGUGAAAUUCGUAGAUAUUCGGAAGAACACCAGUGGCGAAGGCGGCUCACUGGCCCGGUACUGACGCUGAUGUGCGAAAGCGUGGGGAGCAAACAGG
RNAcentral lists this ribosomal RNA (253 nucleotides) under uncultured bacterium. Its description in RNAcentral is "partial 16S ribosomal RNA". It matches the Rfam family "Bacterial small subunit ribosomal RNA", at positions 524 to 776 of the family's 1533-position model. The record is from RNAcentral.